GAGGUCGCGCCGCGCCGCAGCCCCGCAUCAAACAAGUCGCCGAAGAAAACUAGGGGCACCGCUCUCCUUUGAGGGAAGUCUGCAGCUGUAGCACCCCGGUGGGACAGGAGCUCCAUAAAACUGUGGACAGGGAACUUCAGCCACUCUACCAUCACGCUAAACAACUGGGAAGAACGAAUUUUCCCUUGCUUCAAACUGUGAAAGAUUAACAUUGGAAAAAGACUUAUUGAAGAAAUCUCAAUGUAUUUCAUUAGGAGGAUUAUGCUUUGAGCCAUCUAUUCAACUUUUUCAACAUCUGGGCUAAGUUUAAGCUUGAUGCAAUUCUGCUGAAGUCAGUGGAGCUACGCUGGGGAUGAAUUUCCCUUCUUGUUUGACUGGCAAAAGGCACUUUCAUCUGAGCAUUGGAGCUAUAUUCUUCAUCCUUCAGACUAAAGACCAAAUCCUAUUCAAGAAUUGGAAAACAGAGAUAUUAAUAAAUGCUCCCUCUGUAAAUGGAAUGCUGCCAACACAGGGCAAAAUAGCACUGGAUAGCCUUGGCAGUAUGCCCUGAUUCACAUUUGGUGGUUUAUUUGAGAAGGAGCAACAUGUGCAUUCAUGAUCUGUCUGAAAGCAUUUGCAGCAUAUGUACUAUCUGGAUAAUUCGCACGAUACAUUUCUUGUUAUGAAAUACUAUAGAACCACUUCAGCUUGUGGGUAGACCAGUAUAUUAAUCAUGAGUUACCAAUGUGGCAUAUGGUUGCUGUAGAUCUGUGGGGUUUUGUGGCUGCCUUCAAUCACUUGCAUAAUAAAAUAAGCCAGGUCAGAAUUUUAUCUCUAAGAGCACAUACUGGAAGGAGCUGUUUCUGACCAAGUUGGUGGUGCAGGAUGUUGAAAUGUAUGGAAUUAGGACCUAAUUCUGAUCUACGUAGUCAUGUCUUGUGUAACAUACUUGCAGUAACAUCCACUGAAAUUACUAGGAUGACUCAGAAUAAUUUUACUAUUGAGUAUGGGCCAAAAGGGAAAAAUCAGACUCUUCGUAGGGUUAGGGACCUUCUAUUAUCCUGAGCCACUAUUCUUCUCCUUUAUAAACCUCACAUGAAGACCAGUGACCCAAGUUCAUAAGGACUGUCCUCACUUCUUUCUUGCCAAGACCUGUAAAAGUGGUAUCCUUUCCAGGGAUCCUUUCCGCCUGAGGACUGUUCACAGAGCCUGAAUGCAGUCACACUGCUUUGAUUGAUAGUCUUCUCAAAUUUGCUAUGCAUACUGUUCUGGUCUUAACUAGAUACAAAUGGUCAAGGACCAAAACAUGAAAUAGAAUUGGCCCAGGUAAUGUGUUCCUAAGGCAAGGCCUGUACACAUAGUGGGUGUGUAUACAUGUGCAAUUAAUACAUUUUGCUCCUGGGCACACCGUUUGAAUGUUUGCAGCAUGUGGAGCUGGGUCAGAGCAGCCCUGGCUGACAGGGGGCCCUGAGGGUCAGUCUGCCAGCCUGGGGCUGCUCCCCCUCAUUCCAUGUACUGUGGAGGGGCUGCCUGGGGCAUCAGCACAGGGGCGGGGGGGAGCUUCAGCACAUGGGUAGCUGGUAGGCAGCCCCAGCACUGAAGUGCCCUCGUGCCCCAGCCAGCCUGGGAAGUAUCUACACAUACACUUCUGUAGAGUUUUUUACUGUACAGCAGGAUAGUACUUGUAUUUACAAAUACUAUCCUGCUGCAGAGUACAUGUGUUUACUGCAGCCUAAUAGCUGCACACAUGUAGAUACGAGAUGUUUCUUAUGCAGCUAGUGAACUGCUCAGUAAAUGUCUCAUGUAGAUGUGCCCACCGAUGAGAAAUUUUUAUUAGCCUCCUACAAAUUCACCUCACCUGCAUCAGUAAAGGUUUCUGUUUUUAAUACUAAAUAUUUAUCUCACUCCUAGUCCAAUAUUGCCUUUGAGUUUUAUGUAACUUUAAUGUUUGUGACUUGAACUCUAUGGUCAAUUAAUGAACUUUGAGUUUUUUUGUUAAUAUCUCUGCACUGAAUGUGGGCCUGACUUUGCGAAGAGAAGCUAGUGGUGCAUUUUUGCCUUUUCUCCCUUAAGCUUCAAAGUGGGGAGGGAAGAGGAAAUCAGAGAGGCUGUGUCUUGCAAUGGUUGGUGGAAGGCAUAUGUAAUUUGCAUAGGUUAUCAGCAAAUUCUAGCUUUCCACUGAGCAAGGUGGAAGCUAGAGAGGCUUUUGCUUGGAGUGGAUAUGUCUUUCUAAGGUGCAAUGCCUUCCAGGGCUACUAUGGGAGUGGUGAAUUUUAGUUACAGGCCCAAUCUAAACUACAGCCCUGAGGGAAACAAAAACAAGACAAGUCAACAUCCCACUUCUUUACCUAUAGCCUGUAGACAAAUCUUUUGGGAUCUUUUACUAAAUACUUCUGUUAGCACAAAGGAAUCUGUUUUCACUGACCUGCAAGUGGACAAAUACACACAGUCAAAGUCAAUUUCAGUAUCAAAGUCCAGUAUGGAAACUGCAUCAGAACUCCUUAGCUUUCACUAAUAGAUCAGGAAAGAGGCAGAAUGCUCCCUGACGAGCCUGCCAUGCAGACUGGUGGAGGGGUAAAAUUCGUUUCUAUGCAGUGGGCCAGCAUGAAUUUUAGGAACCAUUUAACCUAUUUUAUAAAUACAAAAAAAGUGCAAAGAUCUUGUGAGAGCCCUUAGCACUGGAUGUAUUUACUCUUUGUUUAUACUAUCCAGGUUGUUUAAUUAAAACUAAUUAGUAAGAAUCAUCUGUAGAGGUACAGAUACUAUUACCAGUUUGAAAUGAGAUGUGUUUUCAGAUGAAUUCUAAUGGCCUGGUGGCAUAUAAACAACAACAAAAAAACCAAACAAAAAAGCUGGAAACUGCUUUAAAAUGCUAAGAAAUCUACCUUAACAAAAAUCAAAUAUACUGAUAGCUGGGAACUUUAAGCUAAUCCUCAAAAUCCUUAAUUUACUUUCCCCAAAAUUACAAUACUGGAAAUGGAGAUCACUUAGCACUGGAUCCAUCAGUGCACUGAAGCCUAUGAUUAACUUUGGUUCCAAUAGGCACUUAAGCAUGUGCUUAACUGCAUUCUUGGACCCAGAUUUUACUUGACACUUAAGAAAUUGCCUCAAAAACAUGAUUCCCUAGAGUUGUACAUAAUCAGCAUUUCUAGCUCUGGCAAUGAGUUUUUCUUCAAUAUUUUUAGUGGUCUUGCUGCAUCAAAGGAAGAAAAUCUUGAGAAACACAGAAAGAAAAAUAAGUUCUACAUUUUGUGAGACUAUUUCUGUCUUUGGUUCUAUAAUCUGAAGCACAGGUGUCAUGUUCUAGAAAUGAAAGAGAACACUUCUGCUAUGUCAGAUGGACAGCAGAGUUGCUAAUGUUUGAUCCUGAGUUGGUUGUCUUUCCAGAAAGCUUUAUGCCAGGGGUAGGCAAUGUUUUUGGCUGGAGCGCUGAAAAAACUUCAAUGUCUACCUUGUAAGGUGCCAGAGUACUGGCAUGCGAGAAAAACAAUACUGAGGAGGGGGGCACCUGGCAGGAUGCAAUGCAUAUUAAUAUAGUUAAUAAUCAUAAAUGUUGCUUUUUUUAACAGUAAAUACCAGGUUUUGUAAACAUUUUAAACCUGGUGACAAUAAAUAAAACUUCAUAUA
Long non-coding RNA from Alligator mississippiensis (American alligator), 3606 nucleotides. RefSeq lists it as uncharacterized. Lineage: Eukaryota; Metazoa; Chordata; Crocodylia; Alligatoridae. The transcript is spliced from 3 exons. The record is from RefSeq and is a predicted model, not a curated record.